UUUUGAAAAUGACGUGCUCUGAUUAAAGCUGCUUCACCAUGGUGAAGCUGGUCCCAGAAGCUAAGCAGUGUUGCGCCUGGUUAGUACUAGGAUGGGAGACAGCCUGGGGAUACCAGGUGCUGCAAGAC
This is a ribosomal RNA of Pundamilia nyererei, 128 nucleotides long. Lineage: Eukaryota; Metazoa; Chordata; Actinopteri; Cichliformes; Cichlidae. The record is from Ensembl.